AUAUGCUGAGUAGGAGGUGUUAUAAAGGGCAAGUGGGGCAAAAAGAUAUUGAGACAGACAGCCCCGGGGCUCUGCCACUCUAUCAUGGUCCUGUGGUCAUCUCUAUUCUUGACAGUCUCCCUGGAGAGUAGAAGACUGGGAAUGCUUUUCUGAGAGGCCAGAGAAGCCAGGACUUGCCUAAGAACAUCCUGAGAACCAGUUGACAGAAAAGUGGUCACAAAAUACAAGCCAAAGACUGCUGAAUCUACUCCCUUAGAAGAAAAUGAUCCCUGCUGGACCACCAGAACUAUAGCUUUCCAUUCUGAGCUGGCUUACAUCUUGGCUUACCUCUCCUAAGAGCCAAGCAUCAUGCACUCAGAUUGCCUAAGAAUGAGGUGGAGAAAUUCCCCAUAGAGCCAAGACUUCUGUGAGUCUUCAGUCAAUGAGGAGAAGAGAUCAAGUAAGGGGUUUGGAUCAGCCUCUGCAGAAGUGACCUUCCCCGAAUUCCUUUCAUUUUGGAAACCAGGGAUUUGCACAUCCCACUCCUUCUUUCUGGAAGCUCCUUGAACAUUUCCUUGGGAUUUUGAGGAAUCUUGGAGAGAAGAAUAAAGGGGAGUGUCAAAAGGGCCUUGAGAAACAUCUGCCUGAAUAAGGAGGAGAACUGAGGAAGCCAAAAGGGAAUGGAGUUGAGCACAUUGAUUCUUUUGGGAAAAUUCCAAAGAAGAGGGCUGCUAAUGGAUGUCUGAGAGGGGAGAGGGGUCCAGAAAUUUACCCAAAGGCCAUUCUGAGGAUCGGUUGGCAGAAAAGUGGUCACAACACACAAGCCACAGACUGCUGGAUCCAGUCCCAAAAGAAAGAAAAGAUCCCUGCCCAUCCCUCUGGAACAACAGCUUUCCAUUCUGAGGAAUCUUGGAGAGAAGACUAAAGGGGAGUGUCAAAAGGGCCUGAAUUCCUUCUUCCUGAAUUAGGAGGAGAGAUUAAGAGGCCCAAGGCAAAGGAGUUCAGCAUGUUGAUUCCUUUGGGAAAAUUCCAAAGAGGAGGGCUGCUAAUGGAUGUCUGAGAGGGGAGAGGGGUCCAGAAAUUUGCCCAAAGGCCAUUCUGAGGAUCGGUUGGCAGAAAAGUGGUCACAACACACAAGCCACAGACUGCUGCAUCCUGUCCCAAAAGAAAGAAAGGAUCCCUGUUCAUCCCUCCGGAACAACAGCUUUCCAUUCUGAGGAAUCUUGGAGAGAAGACUAAACGAGAGUGACAAAAAGGCCUUGAGAAAAAUCUGCCUGAAUUACAAAGAGAGAUUAAGAGGCCAAAGGCAAAGGAGUUGUACUGGUUGAUUCCUUUGGAAAUAUACCAAGGAAAAGAUCAGUAGAAGGCUAAGAUAUAUCAUCCCCUGAGAAGGAUCCCUAUUUAUUUGGUUAUUUAGACGUGGACGAGCACUCAGCCAUUCUCUCUUCCCCCAUAUAUUCAGAGCUGCUAAUGAAUGUGUAAGAGGGGAGAGAGGUCCAGAAAUUUACCCAAAGGCCAUUCUGAGGAUCAGUUGGCAGAAAAGUGGUCACGAAACACAAGCCACAGACUGCUGAAUCCAGUUCCAAAAGAAAGAAAAGAUCCCUGCUCAUCCCUCCAGAACAACAGCUUUCCAUUCUGAGAGGACUUCUAAUAGAUGUUGAAGAGGGGAAGAGGUCCAGAAAUUUACCCAAAGGGCACCCUGAGGAUCACUUGUCAGAAAAGUCAUCAGGAAACACAAGCGACAGACUGCUGAAUCCAGGUCCGAGGGAAAGAAAUUAUCCGUGCUGGUCCCCCUAGAACAGUUGCUUUCCAUUCUGAACAGCCUGAAGACAAAGAUGAGGCCUGAAGCAAGAGUCCAGUGCAGUUAUUUGUAAACAUGGGGCCAGGGAUAUGAGAGAGCAUCCUCCCAGGAAGGCUAAAGGCCCUUCUUAAUAGGCCCACCCUUAUUCCUACAAAUACUCUAGUUAACAGAAAUCUAAAAGAAAGCACAAAGCAGAAGGUGUCUCCACUCCAACCUGACAUCUUCCAACCUGCUACCAUGGAUCCAACAAAUGUUGCAGUGCAGCAUGGGAUACUCCCACAUAAACCCCACCCAGCCCCUCAGCCAGCCACACACCCAGAGAAGACACUGCCAUGCUCACAUGCAAAUUCUUGUUCCCCCAAAUCACUCCAUAAAAUAUUGUCAUCCCCAUCCAUUGGCAGUUACGGUGGCAGAAGCCCAAAGGCGGCCCACAGAGGCACUUUCAGAUACACAUGCCUGACUGAGGCAGAAGAGUCAUGGCAACCCAAGGCAACACAGGCUGGCAAUAUUCAUUCCUAUGGAAUGCGAUGGUGGAAGAGUCAGACAUCUCUCCUCCUCGACUAGUCUGUGAUGUUCUACCAGCCAGAGGGAGAGCGCUUCUCCCCCAACAUGCAAAGAUCAUGGAUAUCUCUCACUCAACUUGUCUCUGCUUCCACAAAGACAGAAGAAGAGCAAGAAUUAAGAAGCAGGAGCCCAAUUCAAUAUAGCAUUGGGGCUCAACGUAUAGGGAACACCUUUCCCUGGAGGGCAAUAAAUACUUCAUCACCACCAAAA
Long non-coding RNA from Monodelphis domestica (gray short-tailed opossum), 2554 nucleotides. RefSeq lists it as uncharacterized. Lineage: Eukaryota; Metazoa; Chordata; Mammalia; Didelphimorphia; Didelphidae. The record is from RefSeq and is a predicted model, not a curated record.